This 4692-nucleotide long non-coding RNA is filed under the name Papio anubis (olive baboon). Its description in RNAcentral is "lncRNA (ENSPANG00000045264.1)". The record is from RNAcentral. Lineage: Eukaryota; Metazoa; Chordata; Mammalia; Primates; Cercopithecidae.
AUGAGGAAUUCUCAGCAUCAUUUGGAGCUCGUCUGGAAUGUGACUCAAGCAUACCCUUUCGAAAGCCUGGUGUUAUGGACUGCCUGUGCGUUCCCCCAAAAUGUAGACAGGCUGGGAUGUCUGAGCCCGCUGCAGGCUCAGGAGGAAGGGCAGAUUCUGGGGAAGAAGGCCCCAGCCGCAGGAGCCAUCCCAGCCGCACAGCCAGACUCCCGUUGUCAGGCUUGGCCCACGUCCGGCCGAUCAGCGCAUGGCUGGAGAACCGCACAUCUGGCUGUGACGGUGGCUGCCUUCCUUUCGUUUCUACUCCAGCAACCCGGCCCCAGGAUCAGCUGCAUGGGAGGUAAAUGGAAACUUUGUGGACAGAGUCCAGUGGUCACCCAGGGCUGGCGACGCUCCUGCCUUUCAGGUGUCCUGGGCACCCGAGCAGCUGUGGGCUACGGCUUAUACUUUCCCUGACUGCGAUGGCUUUAUGGGAUGUGAGACACAGGUCAUUCACCUUUUACCCCAGUCAUGCAGCUAAUCACCAGAGCAUUUCACCGCCUCAGCCGUGGCUGCAAAACACUAAGCCGAUUAUGGGAAAGUGCAGAACACGAAUGCUCUUGUGGAAUUUUCAGUAGAGAUAAGCAUUUGCUGAGAUUGAGUGUGACGUGAACUCAGCGCCCUCUCCAUCUUACUGUGUGACCUGAAGCCCAAUGACCCGGUCCCUGGGUGGACCCUGUCCCUGGGUGGACCCUGCCCGUCGGUGGCCCCUUCCAGGCAGGCCAUUGGUCUUCGUGCACUCGGUCAGCUGUGGCUGGUACCUGUCCUCCUCAGGCCCCCUCUCAGGUAAGACAAGGUGUGGGACCUGGGGCUGGCGGAAGCGAGAAUCCCUGGCCCUGGAAUGGUUGGCGGUGAGGGUCCUCUGGAGCUCAUCCCACUGCGGCAGCUCAGAAAGAUGAAGCGGCUCUCCCGUUGUGUCCCCCCAGCACACAAACCUGGUGUCAGUGGCUCCAAGGCCCAGGAGGAGCUCCAAAAGCCACACACUGAGAAGAUGUGUCAUGGCCAAGUCCCACAGGGAGGCUGUGGUAGACUCCGGGCUGACAACAGGGCCUGGCCCUGAGUUCUGGCAGGGGCUCUCGGCAUGCCCCAUGGGACCCCCACGGAUGACCAUAGGACCUGACGGCCCCUCCAGGUUUCCAGAAGGAAGAAAACAGGAUCUUGGGUGUUGGCGGUGAGUCCCAGGAAUCUCCUCUCAGUGAAGCCAUCUCAUUCUUCCAAGGGCUCAGGUCCAAAGCCUGGAGCCUUUUGGCUUUCCUCUCCCCUCACUCCCCAUCAGCAUAUACAGCCAGGACUGGGCCUCUGCUCCCUCCUGCCUUCCCCACUCACCCAUGGGCCAAGCGUCCAGCUUCUUGCCUGGAUGACCUUGGGGCCUCCCACCUGUCGGAUUACACCUGCUACACCCGAGUCACAUCAGGUCCCACCUGUGCUCAUGGCCCCCAGCCCUCCUUUUUGCCUUUUCCUGAUUGUUUUUCUCCAUUGCACUUGUUCGUAGCUGGCCUGGCUUAUAUUUCCCGGUUCAUUUGCCUUUUGAGUCUACCCCGCUGCACGGUGAACAUGUGAGCAGUGUUUUGUUCAUUUUGUCAACAGCUAUAUCCUCAGUGCCUACAGGGUCCCCAGCAUGGAGCUCUGCUGAGUAUGUUGAUGUAGCGACACAGCCAGAGCUCCAGGCAGAGACCCCGUGGGUGGUGGUGUGCGCUCGGCGGCACCUGUGAGGUCACCUAGGAUGGCAGCCAUGCAGUCUAGACCAUGGGAGCUCCACGGUCCAGCCCAGCCGUACACAGCGAGUAAUGGCAACCCUAGCUCCUUACCACCCGCCACGCACCUUUUAGAUUCAAGCAUGGGCUCGGGUUCCUUGGCCUCAAUAUUCUCAUCUAUUAAAUGGGAUAAUGACACACCUCCCUUGGUAAUAGUAAGGCGGAUGGACAGAUCUCCAAAGUGGAUGGGACAGCGGGACGAGCACACCUCUGUCCCCAGGUGUCACUGCCCUGUGGGAUUUCUCUUUUGGAUCCUGCGUGUCUACUUCCCUGAGCCCUGGACCGCUUAGUGCUCUGGGUCAUAAGUAUCCCUGACGUCUCCACUCCUGAAUUCAGCAGAGGCAGGGUGGGAUGUGCAAAAUCAGCUUCCUGCAGGCCCUUCUCUGGCCUCAUCUGACCUUCCCAGCACAGCUGUCAGGAAAGUAAGAGUGCAAAGGGCUGGCAUCUCCAUCUCAUGCCCUGUGGGGCCGGUUGGUCUUCCCCACCUUCGACCUUCAGAGGACCAGGGAGCAGCUGGUGUUAGGGGAUUCCUCCCUCAGCCUUUGGCAUGCUGGGGGGCUGGGGUUCAAGGCCACACUGCCCUCCUGGGAGCUGGGCCGCCUUCCUUUCCCUACUGAUGGUGGAGCAGAGCUGCAGCUGCUUUUCAGGAGGCCACCUCAGGGCGUGUAAGCAUCUGAUCUUUCCGGCAGCCACUUCCUUCCCAUCACUCAGCCGCACUUGCAGGCUGCGCUGUCUCAGAGAGGAGGAAAUGAGGGUGGAGAGCUCUGAGGCCUGAGCCUCUGUGGACCUAGCCUGGCAGGAAGAGUCUGGAGGGUUUGCAGCACGGGUACUUGCCCAGGAAGGACCCGGCAGGCUCCACCUCCUUGGUGACCUAUGGGCAGGCUCACUAGGGACCCUCCUGAUGGCGGGGCACCGCUGGGUGGUGGGAAGACCCACACCCCGACAAAGUGAGUAUGGCUGGGAUGGCCUGCUCUAAGAGGGGCUGUCGCCUUUUCACCCAUGUUGGAAGAGACCCCCUGCUCUGUUCUUGGGACAAAUGCAGCCCUGUUCUCUGAGCUUGAUGGCCUGGGUUUUGUAUGGGCUGCACCGGGAUCGUGCGGCUGUGACGAGGGGGCUUUUAGCUCCCUGGUCCAGAGUCAGACAGUCCUGACUGGAAUCCCUCUGGACGGGGCAGCCACUGGGUGAUGCAGGCAGGCAGGCCCUUCCUGUGCCAGUGGUUAAAUGUCCUUCUAUGGUCAGCCCCGAGCCAUGGGCUCUGCUCUGAUAGCCUUGUGAUGCCCAGAGCAGGCUUCUGGGGAUUCAAAGCAUCCCGGAUGCGUUUCUUCUAGAAAGGGUGGAGAGAAAGUCUGGGGUAGAGUGGGCCCAGGCCGGGAGCCCUGAGCAGCCCUGAGGAAUCAGGAGGCAGGGACGGUGUGGAACUGGGCUCCAGACCGGGCUCAUCAGGGCUCGGCUCCCAGGAUGCCUUCUCCAGCCUUGCAGCCUGCUGCUACGGUGCUCCUGCUCCGGUUCCUUUGGCAACCACUUAAUGACCUGCUACUGGGCCCUCGGUGAGCCUAGUCAGUGAGGGAGAUGGAGCCGAGGUCGUGCUAUGCAGGGAGGCUAUGCUAGAAGAUGCAAUGGCAGGCCUCAGCCUAGCCUCAGGGAUCUCCAGUGGAAGCAGGUCAAGGAGGUCUCCUGGAGGCACUGACCCCGGCCAGCCCAGAGCACUGGCAGCAGUGGUGCAAGCCCAGGAGAGGAGGCAGAACAAGGCCCAGAAGUGCAACCUGUGUGUGUGUCAGCAAUGUCGGGCAAUGAGGUAGGGCAGCGUGGAGUUGGGAGAUGAGACAUGUCACACAGGGGCCUGGGUAGUGUGUUAAUGAGUUUAAACUUUCUCUUGCAGAGGGGGGCUGUAGAGGAGCUUCAAGCUGGGGAGUGAUAUGGUCAGAUUUGGAUUUGACACCUGAAGGAGCGUGGAUUGCAGGGAGGUUGGCUGGAGGCAUGGUAACUGAGAAGGAGACGGGGCAGCCAGCUUAGCAAAGUGAACAGUGGCCCAGCAAUCGGGAGGGAGUAACCAGAGGGGUGGAGAGCUACUUGGGAGGCACUCAGGGCUGCGGUGUGGUCCUUGAUUAGACAUGGAGGACAGACCAAAGGGAGGAGUCCUUUACAGCAACUGUGGGAACAGAGGACAUUAGAAGCCACCUAGCUUAGCCAAUGGAGAAGUCUUCCCUGGGUGGGGCCCAGGAUGGCCACGUGGGGUGGCCAGAAGCUCUGGGGCCUGCUGGCUUCGAGCAUCCUUGAGCUAUAAGCCUGGCAGGCAAAGUGCUUAAAUAUUUAUCACAAACAGAAAUUGAUGUUGGAGAACUAAAUUCUCAAAAAGGAAGUUGAAAGGAAAGGGAAGGUGGGACCUUUGAAUCCCAAUUUGUAGCAUGCGGCCUCUGCAUAUUUCAUUAACUCCUCAGAGUGUGGCAGACCCAGAUGUUCAGGAUGUGAGGAGGUUCUGCUAGUCACACUCCGGUGCUCCGCCCCUGCAGCAGCUCAUUAUUCCAGGGCUGUGUGAGGAAGGUCAGAGGCAAGGAUGCUCGAAAAAGGAAGAGUGAAUAAAAUUGUGAUGGACGGGGGAGGACUUGUGUCAAGCUGCUGAGGGAAUAAUAAGAAUGAGAAGCGAGUUGAGAUUUGAAAUGAAAACCAGGAAAAGGCAGCAGGGUGUUUAGAAAGAGCACUGACUUUGAAUUAAGCCAGACCUCAUCCAUUCACCAGCUCUGAGAACUUCAGGAAAUUUCUUGAUAUCUCUGGAUUUUACAAGGUACAGAUAAUACAGAUCUAGUAAGCAUUGUCAACAUAAUUCAUUAUUAUUACCAUUUACAUUACUACUACUACUAUCAUUACCAUUUUCAUACUACUACUCAUUUAUUGCUAUUAC